This 301-nucleotide ribosomal RNA is filed under the name uncultured bacterium. Its description in RNAcentral is "partial 16S ribosomal RNA". It matches the Rfam family "Bacterial small subunit ribosomal RNA", at positions 509 to 807 of the family's 1533-position model. The record is from RNAcentral.
CAGCAGCCGCGGUAAUACGGAGGGUGCAAGCGUUAAUCGGAAUUACUGGGCGUAAAGCGCACGCAGGCGGUUUGUUAAGUCAGAUGUGAAAUCCCCGAGCUUAACUUGGGAACUGCAUUUGAAACUGGCAAGCUAGAGUCUUGUAGAGGGGGGUAGAAUUCCAGGUGUAGCGGUGAAAUGCGUAGAGAUCUGGAGGAAUACCGGUGGCGGAGGCGGCCCCCUGGACAAAGACUGACGCUCAGGUGCGAAAGCGUGGGGAGCAAACAGGAUUAGAUACCCGAGUAGUCCCUGUCUCUUAUAC